CUGGACCUACGGGGCGCAGCAGUGAGGAAUAUUGGUCAAUGGUCGGGAGACUGAACCAGCCAAGCCGCGUGAGGGAUGAAGGUACAGAGUAUCGUAAACCUCUUUUGUCAGGGAACAAAGGCGGGGACGCGUCCCCGGAUGAGUGUACCUGAAGAAAAAGCAUCGGCUAACUCCGUGCCAGCAGCCGCGGUAAUACGGAGGAUGCGAGCGUUAUCCGGAUUUAUUGGGUUUAA
RNAcentral lists this ribosomal RNA (233 nucleotides) under uncultured bacterium. RNAcentral's name for it is "partial 16S ribosomal RNA". It matches the Rfam family "Bacterial small subunit ribosomal RNA", at positions 333 to 563 of the family's 1533-position model. The record is from RNAcentral.